AUCCAGCGGACGAGUCUCAAAUAUGACGAAACGCGCUUUCUGAAU
Molecule: non-coding RNA, 45 nt
Organism: Schistosoma curassoni
Lineage: Eukaryota; Metazoa; Platyhelminthes; Trematoda; Strigeidida; Schistosomatidae
Source: Rfam